This 215-nucleotide ribosomal RNA is filed under the name uncultured bacterium. Its description in RNAcentral is "partial 16S ribosomal RNA". It matches the Rfam family "Bacterial small subunit ribosomal RNA", at positions 524 to 737 of the family's 1533-position model. The record is from RNAcentral.
UACGUAGGGGCGAGCGUUGUCCGGAUUUAUUGGGCGUAAAGAGCGUGUAGGCGGUUCGGUAAGUCUGAUCGUGAAAGCCCCGGGCUCAACCUGGGAAUGGCGAUGGAUACUGGCUCGCUAGAGUCCGGAAGAGGCGAGUGGAAUUCCCGGUGUAGCGGUGAAUGACGCAGAUAUCGGGAGGAACACCAAUGGCGAAGGCAGCUCGCGUGGGACGG